RNAcentral lists this ribosomal RNA (512 nucleotides) under uncultured bacterium. RNAcentral's name for it is "bacterial SSU rRNA". It matches the Rfam family "Bacterial small subunit ribosomal RNA", at positions 979 to 1488 of the family's 1533-position model. The record is from RNAcentral.
CCUUGACAUGCAGAGAACUUUCCAGAGAUGGAUUGGUGCCUUCNGAAACUCUGACACAGGUGCUNCAUGNCCNUCGUCAGCUCGUGUCGUGAGAUGUUGGGUUAAGUCCCGUAACGAGCGCAACCCCUAUCCCUAGUUNCUAGCAGUUCGGCUGAGAACUCUAGGGAGACUGCCGGUGACAAACCGGAGGAAGGUGGGGAUGACGUCAGGUCAUCAUGGCCCUUACGNCCAGGGCUACACACGUGUUACAAUGGUNCGCACAGAGGGCUGCAAACCCGCGAGGGGGAGCCAAUCUCACAAAACGCAUCGUAGUCCGGAUCGCAGUCUGCAACUCGACUGCGUGAAGUCGGAAUCGCUAGUAAUCGUGAAUCAGAGUGUCACGGUGAAUACGUUCCCGGGCCUUGUACACACCGCCCGUCACACCAUGGGANGUGGAUUGCNCCAGAAGUGGUUAGUCUAACCUUCGGNAGGACGAUCACCAACGGUGUGUGUUCAUGACUGGGGUGAAGUCG